CGACACUUUCUGCAACUUUAAUUCAUUCACACUCACAUACUCCCUUCUUUUGCAACUCAACUUUUAGGCUGUCUUGUCUCCCAACACUGCACUAUAACUUAAAGAAAUAUCCUUAGUAAAAACUCCUCCUAAGCAAAAACAAACUCCUCCUCAUCCUUGCUGGAACGAUUCUGAUCCUUUAAACACCAGAAGUAAUCAGCCAAGGCAGGUAGAACCAGCAAAACAGCCGAUCAACUCCUCAAGGUUUUAUUUUAAAUCCCUUGUAUUGUUAAUACCAUCAAAGUAUGUUCUUACCCUUCACAGCACCAAAUCAUUUCAGAUUUUCAGCAACAUAAAAACCUAUGAGAUUCUGUUAAAGAUUAUACCUUUAAUUCAUUUGCAUAAAUUUUCUUCGAGUAUUAUUAAAGACAAGCAAGGAAAUUCCAUAUAGCAUUUUCAGAUUAUGCACAUAAGAGAG
RNAcentral lists this long non-coding RNA (457 nucleotides) under Salvia miltiorrhiza (redroot sage). Its description in RNAcentral is "long non-coding RNA (SMIL_LNC010053)". Lineage: Eukaryota; Viridiplantae; Streptophyta; Magnoliopsida; Lamiales; Lamiaceae. The record is from RNAcentral.